UACGGCGAGUGAAGCGGCAAAAGCUCAAAUUUGAAAUCUGGUACCUUCGGUGCCCGAGUUGUAAUUUGGAGAGGGCAACUUUGGGGCCGUUCCUUGUCUAUGUUCCUUGGAACAGGACGUCAUAGAGGGUGAGAAUCCCGUGUGGCGAGGAGUGCGGUUCUUUGUAAAGUGCCUUCGAAGAGUCGAGUUGUUUGGGAAUGCAGCUCUAAGUGGGUGGUAAAUUCCAUCUAAAGCUAAAUAUUGGCGAGAGACCGAUAGCGAACAAGUACAGUGAUGGAAAGAUGAAAAGAACUUUGAAAAGAGAGUGAAAAAGUACGUGAAAUUGUUGAAAGGGAAGGGCAUUUGAUCAGACAUGGUGUUUUGUGCCCUCUGCUCCUUGUGGGUAGGGGAAUCUCGCAUUUCACUGGGCCAGCAUCAGUUUUGGUGGCAGGAUAAAUCCAUAGGAAUGUAGCUUGCCUCGGUAAGUAUUAUAGCCUGUGGGAAUACUGCCAGCUGGGACUGAGGACUGCGACGUAAGUCAAGGAUGCUGGCAUAAUGGUUAUAUGCCGCCCGUCUUGAAACACGGA
Molecule: ribosomal RNA, 566 nt
Filed under: Saccharomyces cerevisiae (brewer's yeast)
Lineage: Eukaryota; Fungi; Ascomycota; Saccharomycetes; Saccharomycetales; Saccharomycetaceae
Description: partial large subunit ribosomal RNA
Rfam family: Eukaryotic large subunit ribosomal RNA
Source: RNAcentral